GACGAACGCUGGCGGCGUGCUUAACACAUGCAAGUCGAACGAUGAAGCUAGAGCUUGCUCUGGUGGAUUAGUGGCGAACGGGUGAGUAACACGUGAGUAACCUGCCCCGAACUCUGGGAUAACUGCUGGAAACGGUAGCUAAUACCGGAUAUGACCAAUGAAGGCAUCUUCUGUUGGUGGAAAGAAUUUCGGUUCGGGAGGGACUCGCGGCCUAUCAGCUUGUUGGUGAGGUAACGGCUCACCAAGGCGACGACGGGUAGCCGGCCUGAGAGGGUGAUCGGCCACACUGGGACUGAGACACGGCCCAGACUCCUACGGGAGGCAGCAGUGGGGAAUAUUGCACAAUGGGCGCAAGCCUGAUGCAGCAACGCCGCGUGAGGGACGACGGCCUUCGGGUUGUAACCUCUUUUAGUAGGGAAGAAGCGAAAGUGACGGCACCUGCAGAAAAAGCACCGGCUAACUACGUGCCAGCCGCCGCCGUAA
This 483-nucleotide ribosomal RNA is filed under the name uncultured bacterium. RNAcentral describes it as "partial 16S ribosomal RNA". It matches the Rfam family "Bacterial small subunit ribosomal RNA", at positions 28 to 523 of the family's 1533-position model. The record is from RNAcentral.